Molecule: ribosomal RNA, 292 nt
Filed under: uncultured bacterium
Lineage: Bacteria
Description: partial 16S ribosomal RNA
Source: RNAcentral
GGACUACACGGGUAUCUAAUCCUGUUCGCUCCCCACGCUUUCGCGCCUCAGCGUCAGUAUGAUGCCAGGUGGCUGCCUUCGCCAUCGACGUUCCUUCCGAUCUCUACGCAUUUCACCGCUACACCGGAAAUUCCGCCACCCUCUCAUCUACUCCAGUACCAUCGUUUGCGAUGCACUUCCCAGGUUAAGCCCGGGGCUUUCACAUCACACUCAUGCCACCGCCUACGCGCCCUUUACGCCCAGUUACUCCGAUUAACGCUUGCACCCUCUGUAUUACCGCGGCUGCUGGCAC